UUUUUUUUUUGGUUCUGAGGGUCUCUGAGCAUCAAGUGCUUCUCUGAAGACGUGGGUGUAAUCAUAUUAUCUUUGUCACACACUCAGCCCUAUGCGCAGUCUGAGAUCCUGACAGCCCCUGACAGCUGCAGAGGGACUCACUAGCUAGGUCUGAAGCUCAGGAUGCAAGCCAGACUUGGGGUACCUUGAAGAGAAAGGGGUCUUCUGAGGAGUCCAGUGUGCAGUGCGCUACUUGGAUGAUUUAGUGAUGCUGAUGCCAGGACCCUCUGCGUUAGACCCUGAAGAAUUGCUUGGCCAUAACAAAGAUCCAUUGCCUUUCUGAUGACACCCAGCACCUCGGAUUCUGUAUACACGGGAGGUGAUUUAAGCAUCUUACUGCCACCCUGAAAUCUGGGGUCCUUUAUCCUGGCAGGUAAGACCCUUUUGUGUUUUCCCGACACUUACUUCGGAGACCGCCCCUCUAAGCAGAGGGCCAUGUCGCCUGCUGCGUGUUGCUGGGCUGGUCGUCCUUACAGGAUUUUCCCUUGUUCUCAGCAUCUAGACCCGUAACGCCCACUUCAGAAUGGGAGGGAGGAUGUCUGCUGCCCUGUCGUCUCCACACCCGAGGAAUGUCCGUGUGUGUGUGUGUGUGGUGUGCACAGCGGGCUGCACACAGCGGGCUCCACGGUGCUCGAAUGGAGGCCCUAAUGUGAAUGGAGACUAGCCUGCUGGUAGAGACCUUGGCAGUGACCGCUGUGGGCAAUGAGCCAUGGGCCAACAAUAUUCAAUGCUGUGUACCUGAUGGAUGGUUACUGUCUGAGACUGAGGCUUUUUGGGCCAGGAGUAAAAGGACUUGGUUUGUACUUGAUUGCGUCCUGUGGAUGCUUGCCUACCAACUGACUCAUCCUGACGUGCCAAAGGUCCUGGCUUUCCCCUGUGUGGAAUGAGAGCGUGGCUGGCAUCGCUUCAUGAUUACAUUCUGGGAAAGAUCUUGCCUGUUAACCUCUAGAGAAGGAGGGACGAUACAGACAACCACUGGUGGAAGUUGUUGUUAAACAGUGGGUCUUGCAUGCAAGCUCUACAGUUAUGCACAGUAUUUCCAUGACAUCCCAAGCCAUGAGGUUCAUGCUGCCAUAUCCCCCUGUUUAACAAGUGUGGAAACUGAUAAUGGACUCACAAUUGCUGAUGUAUAGGUUCUAAUGUUUUCUAUUGUGGACACGGGACACCCAGACUGAGGUUCGUGGAUUUUUGAAAUUUCUAAUAAUAAGAUAAAUUUGUGACUUAAUUUUGAGUGGAUGAACUUGAUUUGUUGUGGUUAUAUUGUUCAGUUAGUAUGUAAGUAAAUAUACAAAUAAAUGAAAAAGGGGUUGGCCAACUAUCAAUGUAUAGAGCACAUUGAUAGCAAAGUUGUUUACAUAACUUACACUUUUAGUCCUUAAAUACCAUACGAAUUGAGCAUGUUUUAUCUCUCCUUCUGAGAUCAUUAAAUGGGUCAUUAAAUAUAGGGACUAUAAGCAACUGUCAAUAUUGAUUAGGGUAGUUCAAUGUUAACAUUGUUGAUUUUUGAAGCUUUAUUAUGAACUUGGAAGCAAAGGCGCCACACACUGAAAUUAAGGAGAUCCAAAGACUUACUUUGAUAAUAGAAAAUUCAUAGCGAUUAUCAUAGGUUCAUAUGAUAUCACAUUAAUUGUUAUGCAAAACUUAUUCUUGUGAGUUCUCAAAGGUAGUUAUCCUCUCUAUUCAUCCCACAGAACCAAUGGCUCCAGUCUGAUUUAAACAUGGGUCCGU
This 1767-nucleotide long non-coding RNA is filed under the name Mus musculus (house mouse). Its description in RNAcentral is "RNA imprinted and accumulated in nucleus". The record is from RNAcentral. Lineage: Eukaryota; Metazoa; Chordata; Mammalia; Rodentia; Muridae.